Vicugna pacos (alpaca) is the source of this 2176-nucleotide non-coding RNA. NCBI's taxonomy places the organism in Eukaryota, Metazoa, Chordata, Mammalia, Artiodactyla, Camelidae. The record is from RefSeq and is a predicted model, not a curated record.
UUCUGCCUCCCACUGUCAAAACUGAGUUGUGCGGAUCACAUUCUGUGCGGGUCAGGGACUGAACGGCUGGGCAGAAUAUUUAACUUCCUACUUCCCUCUUAUCAUGAGAGUCUGUAACUAGAGGCUUAUCUUUUGGUCAAGUUCACACGGGGUCAUUUUUUUAGGUAGCUACAAAAGGCAUGUGUAUCUUGGGAGUCAGGUGGUGUGGGUUACACCAGGGCUUUAUCACGUCGUAGCUUUUUGUUCGUAAGUAUCUGUCUCUUUUUCUACAAAGUAGCAACAUCGCCACCUGCCACACAGUUGUGAUAAAGUCGAUGUGAGUUAACACCUGUGCGCUCUCCCGUGACCGUGCGUGACACUUUGUAGAGCUUGUAAAUUUCAGGAUCUGCCUCAUCCUUAGAGCAAUUACGUUAACAAAAUAUAUUCUAUGCAGGUUUUUUUAGAAGUAUAAUUUGGUCAAAAAGCCUAAAUGUAAAAUAUGAAAGUCAAAGUGGAACUGAUGGUGUGGACAACUUGGACAGUUUUACAUACAAUUGACCAUGUUCUUGAACUUGAUAUAAUUUUAUGAAACUCAAGAAAGUGAUACUUAAAGGUAUCCCUGAAAGGAUUUAAAAGGUUCUGUUGACAGAGUUUCACAACUUCGAAAGGUUAGUAAGUUCCAGCAAUCUGCUGUACAAGAUAGUAUUGUACACUUAAAAUGUGUGAAGAGAGUGAAUCUCAUGCUAAUGUUCUUACCACAAACAGAAACGCAAAGAGAUACAAGGAAACCUUUGGAGCUGAUGGGUAUGUCUGUUACCUGGAUUGCUGUGGUGGUAGCAGGAGUGUGUACAUACGUCCCAGCACACCAAGUUGUCUGCAUUAAUUAUAUGCAGUUUUUGGUAUAGCAGUCCAACUUCACUAAAGCUUGGGGAAAAAAGGAAAAACAAAAUAAGAAUCAGUUGGUAAAAACAUAUCAACAUAGAUGAAUUCUCAAAGGCACUACUGAUUUUUCUGAAAGAAUAGGAAAAUAUUUAAUAGUACAAAUGAGGAGUAGUUAUUACUCUGAGUUUGUUGUGAUCGACUAUGGGUCAAGAACUACCCAGGUCCUCUGUUCAUUGGCAGUUCUUAUGCAUCAAAAUUUAGAGCCAUGAACUCAGGAGAGACGCAUCUAAUAUAAAGGAUUUAGAAGAUGGUUUGUGGUGAGGGGACAGGAGACAAAGGCCAGUGCUGACUCUCCAAGCUGAGACGUGUCACAGGAGACUCAGCUCCCAUCAACCUGGGAAGACCCAGCAUAAAGAUAAACAGGAAACAGCGGUGCCCCUCCCCGGCUGUGUCUGUGUCUUGGGGAUUGUACAUCCGAAGCCGAGUUGGGGGGUGAGGAAAAAGCGCUACUGAGAAGCUUCCACACACCAGCGUGCACGGGAACGUGAAGCCUGAAUUAAUAACUUCUGACUUGCUCUGACAAAACUCAAGCCAAGGGUAAAGAGAUUCUGAACUGUUGGUGCCCCUGGGCUCCAGGCAGAAGCAGGCACUCACCCUCUCUCGAGAACCUUCAUCCAGGCAUCAAAGAAUUCUCCCAGCUAAAGUCCCAAAGACAAGUUUCACUGGUUAAAGUCAUUAAACGUCCAGGGAAACAAAUCACGAAUGAGAACUGGCAGAAAUAGCAGACAGGAACUGACUUGCAAAGACUUCAGAUACUGGCAUUAUCAGAAGCAGACUAUAAAACAGCUAUGGUUAAGAUGUCCAAAGAAAUAAAAGACAAGCUUUAAAAAUGUUCAGGGCAUAAAAACUUUAAAGACUGUGAAGCCAAUUUUUAAACAUACAGCAAAUAAACUUCUGGUAAGGAAGCAUGUAAUCUAAAUUCAAAGAAACUGAUGGGUUUAAUAGCCCAUCAGAUCUAACUGAAGAGAGACUUGCUGAACCGGAAGAUAUAUCUGAAAAGAAAAUUAUCCAGAAUGUAGUACAGAGAGGUGAAGAGGCAGAAAAUGUAAGAGGUAUGUGGACAUGAAGGGUAGAGUGGAAACGUCUGAAAUCCUUAGGUCAGCUCUCAAGGAGCGGCCAGAAGCAGAGGAGCGAGCGCUGAAGGGGCAGGGCCAGGACCAGUGAAACGCAGCGCUGGAUAGAUGUGGGAGAUCCCACAUCUCGAAACUGAGGAAACCAGAAGAGACCUUCAUUCACACAGCGUAGUCAGCUCUAA